RNAcentral lists this unclassified non-coding RNA (1334 nucleotides) under Hevea brasiliensis (rubber tree). Lineage: Eukaryota; Viridiplantae; Streptophyta; Magnoliopsida; Malpighiales; Euphorbiaceae. The record is from RNAcentral.
GUUGAUGUUUUCCCAUUUCUCUUUACACUUCUUUGCAGUUCGGUUAUAGCCCAUAUUGCACAUUCCAACAGAUAUCUCAUCCCAAAUAUUAGAGCAUUUGGUGCCCAUAGCUCGGAACUUCUGUUCCAAAGCAGUUCGUAGCAUUAUAAGGGCUUGUACUUCAGCCUCUGGCCAUCUUCUAUUACUUGGAUCACACUUGAAAUCAUUUUGAAUGGAAAUACUGCUUGCAUCUUUUUCUCCAUGUUUCUCUGCAUGUGAGGUGAUUGCUGUUAAAGGUUGAGGGAUUUCAAUUUUAUCGCCCAUCACAUUCUGAAUAAGGGAAAUGAGGGCUACGUUACGAGCAUUCUCUUGGGCCCUUAGCUCUUCAUCCCUUCUCAUCCUCUCUCUCUCCUGCUGUUUCCAAGCUUCUUCUCUUAUCAUUCUUUCCCUCUCUAUCCUCUCCAUCGUCUCUAUCAACUGCUUAUGCAUCUGCUCUUGCUUCUCCAUGACCUUUGAUACCAAGUUUUCCAAAAAAUCCUUAAGUUUUUCCCUAGUUCUUCUUUUUCUCUUCCGACUAACACAUCCCUUAAUGAUGCCUGCUGAUGAAUCAUCAUCUGAAAAUGAACUGGAUUCAACCUCCAAUAAACCUCUAACACCAUUCGGGUGCUGAUUCUCUCCACCCGCAUCCGACCCAAUUCCCGCCGAACUAUCCGCUACCAAACACGGAGCACCAGUAACCCCAAAGCUAUUCAGCACCAUCUCACUGGCCUCUGCUUUCACUGGCGGCUUGAAAUACUCGCUAUCCUCUCCACUAAUCCCACACACCUGAUCUGCCAAAAGCCCUAAAUUCUCCAGUGUCCCGUCCAGCCCAUCCACCAGCGGCAGAUCGUUUGCCUGAGAACUCGACGGAGACCUACCGUUUGCCCUGAUAGGACGGAGUUUCUGCGGCGGCAAGUUUUGACCGUCGAUAUCUGAAGAGUGAAUCACGGCCAUUGGAUUGGAGAUGAGAAGGUUUCCGGUUGCCUGGAAAGGAAAUAUGCGUUGGGCGAAGUCAGUAGUAGAGUUCGGAACUCGCCGGUCGCCGGUUAGCAGUUCCAUUUCCUGGUAUUAUUUAUUUUUUAUUAUUAUUAUUUAAAAAAACAAAAAAAGGGAAGGAGAUAAAGGUAACAGCUGCCUUGAGGGUUUUUUUUCAGAUACAGGUGAAAUGGCAGCUAGUAAAUGGGCGGAGUAAAAUGGGUAAAUGGGGCUCUAUGAAAUUACGAUAUUACUCUCUUGUUUCUCCAUAUUUAUGAAAUUAUCCUUUGGAUCAUGAUGUAUAAGAUAUUGGGAUCUAAUUGGGCUGAAGUCGGCCAUUG